CACAGAUGAUGCUAAGAUCUCUUAUUGGUGU
RNAcentral lists this non-coding RNA (31 nucleotides) under Mus musculus (house mouse). The record is from RNAcentral. Lineage: Eukaryota; Metazoa; Chordata; Mammalia; Rodentia; Muridae.